GUUGCAUACUCCUGGUCUCCAGCAUUUCUCCUGCUUCAGCCUCCCAGUGUUGAGAUUAUAGGCAGGAGCCACUGUGCCCUGCCAUAAAGCUUUUAAAUCAGCAUGAAUCCUGUGCCCACCUGAUGUACCAUCUCCCAUCCUUGGCUUUGGGAGAAGAUAGGCCACAGGGACCUUCAUGGUUUGCUGCAAGCUCAAUGAGAAUAGAAAUGCCCAAUGGGGAUUUGCUUGUGAACAGCAGUCCCAGGUCAUCUUCAGAGGAGACCAAGGCCCCAUUGUGGCCAAUGGCCAAGAUCUGAGUUUGAAGCAAAAAGGAAAGACUUCCUAGUGGGCCACGUAAGUGCUCAUUAUAUGUGUGCCAUGGACUAAGGACAAUAAAAAAUGGUAAUACGUGAUUUGUGCAUAAAUAGAGUCAGACAGCCUGGGUCAAAUCCUGGCAGGGUCACUACCAGGGACUAGGACUGAAAUGCUGUUUUACCAAAUUUGUAAAAACAAGCGAAGAGAGCCUGCCUCCCAGGAAGAGAUGAGGUUGGGUGCAGCAUUCAGGCAGGUCAGGCCACAGGUUUCCCUUCUCAGAAAGCUUCACAGCCCAGCACGUCACGUCCCAGGCUCAAGUCUCUCCAGGGCGGCCACAGAGAAGGCUCCUGACACCGGGACUUGGAGAGGUGAUCACAGAGGAGCAUGAAGGAGGUGGUGGCCUGAGGAGGGGAGAGGGGAAACAGAUGUCUUCAGCAGCAGCUGCCUAAAAGGAUGAGGGUCCAGCCUUUUGUGCUCCAUAUUUGCACCCCAUGAUGGCGUCUCCUCCUCAUCUUAGCACCUGCUGCAGCUACCUGGCCUCUUGGGUACAUCAUUCAGCUCGGGAACCAGCAUAGCCCUCUUCCCUCCCCAGCUCCCUCUCCCACACCUGGCACUUCCAGUGAACCUGGUGCUGGGAAGACCUGGGCUGCUUCUGUACUCGCUCUGAGCAGGCUCUGCCCUCCAGUGACCCCAGGAUACACCUGGACUGCUUGCAGAAGCUACGGUCCGGGCCAGGCUUCGCGGAGCCUGCAGACCUGGCUGCUGGUGCCCAACAGCUGCAGUCCUGAGCGGUGCUCAUAUCGCGCAGGGGCCGGUCUGGGUCUAAACAGCCGCUACCGGGUAGGCGGAAUCCCGAAGCUCGAGAGUCCCCUGCUGGGGCUGGGCCGUUGGACCUCGCCCUUUGCCCUCUGCUGCGUUUCUUCGAGCCCUGGCCUCGCGCACCCUUUCUCUCCACGCGUUCCAACGGCGGCUCAAUUGCGUAACAGGGUGUGCAGCGCACAGGCUGCUCUUCACCGGCAACCUCUUCUACAAGCUUCAUACGCGCCCCUCGUCCCCCAUCUGGUCUGGAUCGCCUCGCGGUCCCGGCACAGAGCUCUCCUCGACCUUGCUCGCCCAGGUUUACUGCAGUCCCGCGCCUUUUCGGUUGGACAUCACCGCUAGGAGGCGGUGUCUGAUUCCGCAGGCUCUGGGCUCCUCUCUGGGGUUCUUACCUUGAAUGUGUGCGGGACUCUGGUGUGGAGGUCUCAGGAGCCACUGCUGCCGGCUAGCACUACUAGGGUGUUCAGCUGAAUAUCUUGGAAUGGUAGAGUCCUCCUCCAGGCUGCAAAUGACUCCUUUCUGUUUGGGGUUUGAGCAGGUAGUGAUCUCUACGAAGCUGGGCCACCCUGUCCUCCCCUCCAUACUUGCCUCAGAAAGACUGAGUUGAAGUCCCCAGGAGAGUGCAGGAAAGGAAAAGCUAAGGCAGAGGGAAAAAGUAGCAAAAGAAGGAUAAUUAGAGAAGGGCUCCCCCCUCACCCUCAUAACAGCGGGAGUGUCUGGAAGAUCAACGGUGUCAUCUUGUGGUCACUUCCUUCCAGUACAGUCCUGGACUCCUGAAAGGAAGCCUCUGUUCCAAACACCCAGAAGACACCUUGAGUAAGAAAGCAUCUUCUCUGAGCCCAUUUGCCAAAGUCAGUGACAUCGCCAGCUUAUACAGACCUCUUUGGAGGUCUGCCGUGGGUUCAGCAGGGCUGUCCCGUCCAGUCUUAUCUGCACUCUGCUACUGGAGAGGUGGGCGAAGGAAGAUGUUGAUGGAGGCCAUUCACCCAGAUCUCCAGCCUCACUAAAGUCAGACAAGACACAGGGAGAAAAAGCUUCCAGACACUCUCAAGAAGGAACUUUCCAAACACAUCUAACAGCUGUGAGCUCUGUAACUCCAAAUUCCAGUACUCCUGCUGCUGCCACUGCCGCUAUUGUUGGGUGGAGGAGAGCUACCUCUGCCCCCUAGGUUUCCUGUAUAGUCACUGCUGAAGACCUAGGCUUGGAGAAGAGAGGUGAGCACCAGUGGAGCCCCAAGGCGUUGGAGGAUAAAACUGAGGCCCCUUCAGACAGCAGGGCCACUCAGCCUGCCUGUUCUUUCUCCCUUUCUGCUGAGAAAAUUUCAGACUUCCUGACUGUGGCCACUUUCAUCAUGUGGAUCCUGGCUCCUGCCUCAUUAGUAGACACUGAUUCAGCUGACCUGUUUGCCAGACCCUCCAAUCCUGACUGCCCCUGUACUUACCCCCCCCCAUCAGAUAUUGAUCAUGAAACGAGAAGCCCUACUUAUAAUUCUCCUUUCACCAUUCUUGCUGAAUCUCCUUCUCCCUUUAGGAUUAAUAAUAAUUGUUAGUCCAAGCUGCACCAUUUUGCAAGUCCCUGCCAUUUCACAGACCCUGGUCAGAAUGAAAGAUUCCAUGGGGCCCUGGGCUGUGAGAAACAUCCUGCCCAGCCACCUGACUUCCUUAUCACAUCCUGCUGGGCAAAGGCCCAAGGAACAUCUUUAUCAACAUCCUCCUGGGCAGCAAGCCAUACGGGCCCAGACCCCUCCUGCCCAGACCUGUAAUUACCCCAGCCUGUAAGCAGCAGUGAGCUCUGGCACCAAGCUGGUCCCCUCUCUGCAAGUUGUACUGGCAAUAAACCUGUGUUGCUGUAGAGCCACCAACUCUCUCUCUCUCCCCUUCCCUUCAAAACCUAACAAUAAUAAUGAUAGAAUAACAAUAAGGCAAACCACCCAAUUAAAAAAACUGGACAAAACAUUUGAGCAAUAAUCCCUUUCCAAAAGUUGAUUCAGAAAUGUUCAACAGGCCCACCAAAAAUGCUCAAUAUUAUUAAUCAUCAGGGAAGUUUAAAUGAAAACCACACUGAGAUGCCAUUGCACAUCCACCAGAAUGCCUGUAGGGAUGUAAAGCGCUUGGAACACUUCUCACUUGCAGUAAUAAUAUAAAAUGGUACAAUCACAUUGAGAAAAUGUCAUAAAACUUAUUAUAAAAGUAAACAUACACAUUCUUACUCAGCACUUCCAUUCUGAAUUAUUUCCUUGAGAGAAAUGAAAACAUGGAAGAUUUCUCAUUGCAAUGAUAAUAUGAAAUGGUACAAUCACAUUGAAAGAAUGUCAUAAAACUUACUAUAAAACUAAAUAUAUACUUAUUCUUACUCAGUGCUUCCAUUCUGAAUUAUUUCCUUGAGAGAAAUGAAAACAUAUGUACACAAAAAGGCUUGCAUGACACAAAAAGCCUUGCAUAGUAGGCAAAAUUCAUAAAAGCCUUAUUCAUAAUAAGCAUAAUAUGGAAAUAUCCCUGAUACCAAUCCACAUGAGAAUAGAAAAAGAAAUUAUGAAGUAUUCAUAUUACUCAGCUAUCAAAGAAAAUAACCCCUGAUGACAGACAACAAAAGUACAAAAGCACAGCAUUCUGCUAAGUGAAAAGAAUCCUUGCACAGGAAUGCAUACUGCAUGUCCCUAUUUAUAUGAAAAGCUAGGACAGCCAAAACUAACCUAUCUUGGGACAAUCCUUGAAGAAUUGGAGAGGAUUGACUGAACCUGGAGGUACAACUGGAUCACAGCAGUGAGCAAAUCAGGGCGUUGGGUCGAAAUCAAAAUACAGAGAUAAAUCUCUAUAAAUAUAAACUGUUUUAUUUGGGAAGUGAAAAUUGCAAUUCAGGGCACACAACUGGGCAGCCUUUUAGAAGAACAAAUAGAAAGAGGUUUCGUUAAAAGAGCAAAGACAAUUUAUUUUGCAAAGACAACUCAUUGGCACUAGUAAAGUUUUGGGGAGCUGGCAAGUUCUGAUUGGUAAGUGAUAGCAGUGGGUAAAAGUAAUCAUAGAGUCCGGCAGGUUGUUUCAGAAGCUACUACAUAAAACCGUUUUUGGGUUACAGCAGGCAAUUUCAGCAGCUAGGCUUGCAAAGAAUUACAUUCUUGGCGUGCCCUGAGUGUGUUUUCUCCUCCUGGCCUUCCAAUUCUGUUUUAGUUGGGUAUAACAAGAAUGGCUCAAUUUAUAUAAUCAACUUUCACACUUGCCAGCCAUAGGAAGCCAGGGCAUCCUACCCAUAAGUGACUCUCUCUCCAAGGGCUGAGCUGUUCUCUUCCUGUGCCGACAAACUGCUCCAGGGAGAGGGGAUCUGGCUGAUCCAACAUGGGUCAAAGUCCCACAGUCCAGAUAUAUGUGUCUCAGAAGGUGGGGGGUUCUCAUGGUCCAUGGACUUUCCUUCAGAUAAUGUUGGAAUUGCUCCGAGAAGGGCUAGUGAUUUUUACCCCUAUGUUCACCAUGCCUUUUCUGCACACAAGAGUGCUUGUGUCUUUGCUCUCUUCUUGCACUGCUCCUCCCGGCUGACCAUCUUCCCAUUCUCUGCCGUGCCCCUACCUUAACAUUGUUUUCUAAAUGAACCUUUUUCAUGUUUAAAAACUGUUAUAACAGUUAGAAAGAAAAUCUGGCCUUCUCUGCCAUUAUUAUGGCCAAUUGCAUCUACGUAGCAAAAUCUGUUUAUAAAACAAUGAUUUUAGAAUGAUAUUCUUUCUACCUUUGCUUCGUUUUUUUCAAAUCAAGUUUUGGAGGUAAAAUUCAGCAAUUUCAGCGGCUGCUGAGAAAAAAAUUCAGAGUCAGGACCUGCCAAUGAAGAGGGUCCCCAAAAAAUACUCAGGUUUUCAUGUAAAACGUCUGAAAGCCAGUAUCCCAGAAAUAAGGAUAACAGGAGAGAGCCAGCCUUCAAAAAGAGUGAAGCAUGGCUCUGACUUACAUUAAUCUCAGAAUAAAGUGUGCUUUCCCAUCCUAGCUGCCUUCUACAUCCAAAGGUAAAUCCCUUCAGAGGAUUUAUAGUAGCAUCAAUAAACAUGAAAUAAAUCUACAAAAGACAUGCAAAUCGACAGGAGAAUUCCAGAGCUAAAUGUGAAAAGUUAAGCAAUAAACCUCAUAGUAGGCAUCACUGAAAAUUUCCAUGAUAUUGGAAGUGAUGCUGGGCAGGCAAGCCCAAAUUGGGGCUUAGCUUGGGAGGGUUCUUUGCUUCACCCAGCAAAGGAUUCAAGGGUGAGCUGGUGGUGGAAGAAGACAGCUCUAUUGAAGAGGCAGUGUUACAGCUCUGUGACUGCUCCUGCAGAGCACGGUUACUCUAUCGGCAGGGCGCAGAGAGCAGCAGCUCAGGGCAGUUCUGCAGUCAUAUUUACAUCUACUUUUAAUUGCAUGCAGAUUAAGGGGUGGUUUAUGCUGAAAUUUCUAGGAAAAGGGUAGUAACUUCUGGGUCAUUGGGUCAUUGCCAUGGAAAGGAGCAGUAAUUCCUGCAUGUUGCCAUGACAAAUGUAAACUGACAUAGCACACUGGUGGGUGUGUCUGAUGGAAAGCUGCUUCCACCCUGACCCUGUUUUAGCUAGUCCUCAAUUUGCUCCAGUGUCCAAGCCCCGGCUCUGGAGUCGAGUCCUGCGUCCUACCUCAGAAGUAGUCGAAAACAUACACAUGAAUGUUCACAGCAGCAUUAUUUCUUUCUUUUUUUUUUUUAAAGAGAGAUGGGGGUCUCACUAUGUUGGCCAGGUUGGUCUUGAACUCUUGGUCUCAAGCAAUCCUCCCUCCUCAGUCUCCCAAACUGCUAGGAUUACAGGCAUGAGCCACUACACCUAGCCACAGUAGCAUUAUUAUUUCUAAUAGCCAAACAUCCAUCAAUAAUAGAAUGGGUAAAUUAUAUUUGUUCAAUGGAACAUCACACAGCAAUAUAAAAGAAUAAAGUGCUGCUAAAAGCAACAACAUGGAUGAAUUUUAUGAAGUGUUGAAUGAAAAGACACAGCCACAAACAGGACACAUGGUAGGGUUCCAUUUAUAUAAAGUUUUUAAAUAGGCAAAACUAAUCUAUAAUGUUAAAAAUUUGGGAGGGGCAUAGUGACUAGGAAUGAGCAUGAGGUUGAUUCUGAGGUGCCUGUGUUUUGCUUCUUGAUCUAGAUUACAUAGGUUUGUUCAUUCUGCAAAAAUGUAUUGAGGAAUAGACAGAUGAUUUGUACACUUCUGUGUAUGAAUGUUAUAUUGUAAAGUUUCUUGAAGAAUACCUGUUUACAAGAGUUAGAGAACAUGGAAGCUCUUUCUCUGAGAUAAAACAUCUAAAAAGACAAAAAUUAGCCGGGCGUGGUGGUGGGUGCCUGUAAUCCCAGCUACUCGGGAGGCUGAGGCAGGAGAAUGUCUUGAACCCGGGAGACAGAGGUUCUAGUGAACCAAGAUCACACCACUGCACUCCAGCCUGGAUGACAGAGGAAGACUCUGAGACUCCGUCACAAAAAAGAAAAAACAAACAAACAAACAAACAAAAAAGCCCUAAGUCAUAUCAUGCCAGUCUCAGCAGUUUGAAACCCUCCAUGGUUCCCAUCUCUCAGUAAAAGGCAACGUUCUUAUGACAUCCUUCAAGGCCCCAUGUAGUCUUUUGGUCCCUCUCCAUCUCUGUCCUCCUGUCAUCCACGUCUCCCACGUGCUGAUUGGGUCUGGUAGGGUGACUGGGUGGCAAAGACCUCACAGAGGUGCCUUUCUGCUCAGGUGGCAAACAGGAGAGUCUAUCUGGGCCCUGCAGGAUGGAUCCUUCCUGAGUCACUGAAUAUAUUGGAGGUGCAGACAGCGCCAGAGAAAGGCAUUGAGCCUGCCAGAUCAGACACCGCCUCUUAGGGUCGACGGAACACCCAGGAGCAAAGACCAGAAAUUGUGGGAGAAAGGCCUGGAAGGGGGCCGGGGAGAGGCACAGAGACAGCGAGGUGAUGCAGGCUUGGUGGGAGCGGGUAUGGUAGGCAAUGGGGGACAGAGGGGCAGGGCACAGACAAAGCUUGCUGAAGAUAUGAAGAGCAAUUGUGAGCCGGCGAAUCCUUGGAGUAGAGGAGAAAAUUGAGGUCUCCUGUUCAGCCCGAUGCAGGCAGCCGCCACAGAGGACACCAGAUCAUGCCAACACCCCCACAACUCCUGCCCGCCUGCAGGCAGCUCUGGGCUCAGGACACCGCCUGCAAGAACCUUUAUAGCGCAGCUCUCCAAACCUUGGAGGCGAGGACAUUCUAUGUGCCCGCCCUGGAAAGGCCUGAACCUAUAACAUCUGGGCUGUGAUGGUUUCUGAGGUGGACACCAGGACCAACACUUGUCAGCAUGGCACAAUCAGGCAUUUCUCUUCUAAGUAGGAUGUGCAGCCAAAAACUCAGCUGUCUGUGAGCUGUCUUCUCCCAGGAACGAGGACAUAAGAUGUACAUCAGGUCUGAACUGCACAGAUCCACUUACAUGUGGAUUUUCUUCCACUGCGGCCUCUCCUGAGACAGCAAGACCAACCCCUCCUUUUCAUCCUCCUCCUCCUCCUCAGCCUACUCAACAUGAAAAUGACAAGGAUGAAACCUUUAUGAUGAUCCACUCAUCCAUUUUCUUUUCUCUAGCUUAUUGUGAACAUCUUAGGCUAGUGUGUCGACUUCUGACUUGGCUCAUCUGAACCCAAGUCCUUGGACACAUUCACAAACACCCCAGGGUCUUGGGCUUCCAGUUUGUGCUAGAAGGACAAAGGGCAGGUGAAGCUUGUUUGCCGUAACUAGAAGGAGCAGAAACUGCUCCCAGCAGAACAAGAUCAAAUCAUGGGGAACAGUGGUCACCUGCCAUUUCUAGAGGAAGCUUUUGCUUUUGGUCACUGAGGACCCUAAGUCUUACAUGAGAAGAAAACAAAUAGGGUGAUGCUGCAUGCUUCUGUCCCCAAAGAAUCCCUGUGCAGGUGCCGAGGGUGCCCCAAAGACGAGGCUGUGCUUGCCGUGCCCACCACAGAAGCACAUUUGACCUGAUCAAAAGCAGGUGGAAAAGGUCCUGAAGCACAGAUAUUUUCUCAGUGAUGUUGUUUUCUCCAAAAUGAAAGAGGGAAGGUACCCUGGCUUAGGCCCCUGGUGUUCUGAUUGAAGGUGAGAAUGGAAGUAUCUUCUUCAACAUGUUCUCCCAUCUGACUGCAACAAGUGUGCUCCAGCCACCAGUGUCCCAGUUGCUCUGAAUGAUGGUGAGAAGGGUACCCAAACACUUGAAUGGUACUGUACCCUCUACUUGCCAUCUGAAUCCUCACUUGUGGAACCCAGGCACUCUGGCUGUAUUCGCGAGUAAGCAUAGGUGUGGGACUGUGUCCUGCCAUUGCACCAUCUUUAAUCUGGACUUGUGGACCUCAGGCUCUCUGACUAUUCAUGGACAGAAGUUUCUGCAGGCACAGGUGGGGUGCUGUUUCCUCCCAUUGUACACCUGAAUUCAGGACUUGUGGACCCCAGGUGUUCUGGCUGUGUUCAUGAACAGAAGUGUCCCCCCCAAACAAACCCAUAUAUGGUGCCAUCUCCUCCCAUUACAGGUAUGGUGCCAUCUCCUCCCAUUGCAGGCAUUGCACUGCCUAUACUCUGGACUUAUGGCCCUCACAUGCUCUGAUUGUAUUCAUAAACAGUAGUUUCUUCAGUCACAGAUAUGGCACCAGCCCCUCCAACAGAAACAGAUGUGCUCAAGCUGAGUGGUCCAAAGGCGUUUGACAGAAGUCAUGAACAGAAGUAUCUUGGGGCACAUGUUUCUUCUCUGUUGUGCAGGCUUCUCCAGCAGUAACAGGUUUGCCCAGGCCAUAUGGGCCCCAAGCGCUCUGACCAGACACAAGAAGAGAAGACUUGCAGUCACAGGUAGUGUGUUGUCCCCUGCUACUGCAACAUAGGUGCUUGGAAAGGUGCAACAGGGUGCUCUGCUUGUGGUGGAAACAUAAAGGCCUCCAAGCAUAGAUGUGCUGCUUUCUCCUUCCCUUUGAGGGAUGCAGAUGUGCUCUGGCCAGCUGCAUUCCAGGUGGUCUGUCUGCAAGACAGAAGUGUCCCAAGCACUGGUAUGUGCGGGCUCCUCCAACCACAACAGACGUGCUUUGGCCAGAUGGUUUCCAGGUGUUAUGAACACAAGAAGGAACAGAGGUGCCUUCUGGAACAUGUUUCUUCUCAGUGAUGUUCUAAGAGGUGUGCUUUGGCAGGACAGGCCCCAGCUGCUCUGACUGUAGGCAGGGAGGAAAGUGUUUCCCAGGAGUUUUUGCUUUCAGUAGUACUGCCCUCUCCAACUGUACCAGAGGUGCUGUAGGCUUGCAGGAACCCCGGUGCUCAUGUGUAAGCCUCCCCAACAUAAACUAAGGUGCUGCAUGCCCCUCUAGGCCCUGUUCUAAAGCUGAGUGCUUCAGAUGUGGAGCUGGGUCUGGGGCAGACACACUGGUCCUAGAGCUGUCAUUAUCCAAAGAAGCCCCAGAGUCCAUGAAUGGAAAUGGGUCGAGAGAGGGGUUAGCAAAAGGUGAACUGUGCCUGAUGCUGAGCAUCCAGUGAUGGCUCCAGAGCUAGAAGUAGUGGCUGUGCAAAUGGGAAAAGGACCCGAGGUGCCACCCAAGGCUGAGUGGGUGCUAGCAGAGAUAUCAAAGAUGGAUAUGGAGGUAACACGUACGCAAAAUCUGAUGGCAUUAUGCUCCCAUUGGGUGUCUGGGCUGCAGUAAAGGCUCAGUUUAGAGCUUGUAUUGAGAUUUUACGUUUCUCAAAGGGUAAAUGCUAUCAAAUACAUUGGGGGAUCCUGCCAGGGGGAGGCUAGAAAGAGGACAUGGUAACCAUAUUGAUUUCAUCAGAGUUAAAGGCAGACUUGGCUGCCCAGUUGGUCAAGGUCCUAGCUACUAGAAAACAGACAAUUGCUGAAGUAGUGAUAAGUAUGAUGGUGCAGACAGGUAUCCUAGAAGACUGACUCUUUGCUGCUGCCCUUUAGGAGCUCCAAAUGUGACUGAGAGGUGGCUUCUGGGCUAAAGGAAAGGUUCAAAGUGGGGUAGGGCUGUUUACCAUAAACAUAGGUGGGUUAGUGGGGACUGCCUUUUGCAGGGGGCUGUCCACUCCACACUGCAAUGAGCCAGUCAAAUGGGAGUUCCAAGACCAGAGGAAACCUAGCCCAGAGCUUGAGUCUUCCAGGCUAACCCUGGGUCCUGGGGGGACCAGGAGAUGAGACCCAGGGAAUAGUAGUGUCCAUGUCGGUCAUCUCAAAGGUUCAAAGCAGGCUGGGAGGUCAAGUCUGCAGAUGGGCUGACUGGGCAGUGGAAGUGAUAAGGUUGGCCAGUUAAUGAUGGGUUGAUAUAUUCAUCUGUUUUCACACUGCUAUGAAGAACUAUGUGGGGCUGGGUAAUUUAUAAACAAAAGAGGUUUAAUUAACUCACAGUUCCACAUGGCUGGGAGGCCACAGGAAACUUACAAUCAUGGCAGAAGGCAAAGGGGAAGCAAGGCAUGUCGUACUUGGUGGCAGGAGAGAGUGCAGAGGAAACUGCCACUUAUAAACCGUCAGAUCUCAUGAGAAUUCCCUCACUAUCAUGAGAACAGCAUGGGGGAGACCACCCCUACAAUCCAGUCACCUCCCACCAAGUCCCUCCCUCCACACAUGGGAAUUACAAUUCAGAUUACAAUUCAAAAUGAGAUUUGGGUGGGGACAUAGAGCCAAACCAUAUCAGUUAGUCAGUGAAGACUGAGGUAUCUGUAGAAGUGAGGGAGGAGCACAGUGGUCUGGAUGAACCAGUGGGGUGAUAGUCAGGGGACUGGCAUUCAGUGAGGCUGGGGGAGAAGCUUCCUAAAAGCAUUGCCCUUGAAAAGCAGGGCAUACCUAUCUGAUACUGAGGAUGUAGAAUGCAGUUUGGAGAUGCUUCCUAGCUACCUAAUCUUCCAAGGCAAACCAUGCACUCUUCAUCCUGAUAUUUGUGAUGCCUCCCUGGGCUACAUGACAGAGGGUGCACUGCAAAGGAUGUGAAGGAAAGUCACCACAGGGCAAAGGUGGAAACCCAGGGGCCUUUCCCCAGUGAGACUUUCUGGCUGUUCCUUUGGAACUUCCACCUGCUAGUUGCAGAUGUUUGCCACUGGAUGGGGCCCCAUGCUACGUGGGAACUGUUCAGGACUGUGGGUACUUAGUUCCAGCAGAGCUGGCUCCACCAGGGCACCAGGACUGCAGGCUUCUCAACUCCUGGCCUGGAGAGGCAGCUUCAGCAACCAGUGCCUGGGAAUCCACUAGCCCUUUCUCUGUGAGUCACGUGAGGGCAGAAUCUGCUCAAAGUCAGAGGGCUGGAGCAACCUGGAUUGUGCCAGAGUGAGGGCCCAGCUCACUGGAGGUCAGAGUAAGAGAGUCAAGGAUGGGAAGAAACAGGGUUUUGCUCAGUCUUGCAGAUACUGAGGCACUCAGGAGGCUCAGGAUGGCAGCAACAGGGCAUGUGCUAAACUUACCCUAGCCUCUUCCUUUUAGGCAGCCACCACAGAGGACAUCUGUUUGCCUCUGUACCCUACCCCAUCUCCAUGCUGGUAGAUAUAGUCUGGGGAUACCUUUAAAACAAACAAACAAACAAACAAAACAGGAUCUGUCUAUCACCUGUCCAAAUCCUGAAGCAAAAUGAGCCUUCUUUAUGGCCACCUUGGAAAGGCCUGAGUCCCCAGCAUCACCUGGGAUACAAAGUGUUCUGAGGUGGGGGCAGAGUGCCCUCCUGCCCAGAUGCCACACUCCACAAUAUCUCUUCCUGGCAGACAGGUUUCUCUUAACUUCCUUUGGCAAAUUUGGUUUCACUUCCUUUUGCAACUUUAGAACCUUUCUCAGGUCAGUCAUAAGGUAGUGGAGAAGCCAGGAUUUGAACCCAUUCUGUCUGAUUCCAGAGCUCAUGCAUUAACCACCUGACUGUGGUGCCUCCCCAUCAUAUGUGCAUCAAGUAUGAUCAUUUUUGUAGUUCUCAGAGUACUUAGCACCAUGCACAUCUGUAAUAAGUACAGCCACUGCCUACUGGGAGGUCUAAAGGUUCAACUCAUAAGGGACCCACAGGCCACACUGGGCUCCAGUCUCCUUAAAAGAUGUGGGACGGAGAUCAACAAUUGUCAGCAGAACCCCAUCAGGCAUUUGUCUUCUCACUGAGCCUUGCAGCAAACCACACAGCUGUCUAUAACCUAUCUGUUCCCAGAUUCAAGAACACAAGCUGCUCAUCAGUUGGGUGCAGGAUCCACUCUAGUACAAAAGCUGUGUGUCUCAAGGCAUAAUUCCUUAUGAUUACUUCAUAGCUCUGCUUUUGUCUUGAGACAAAAGAAAUUUCCUUCAAUUCCUACUUUUGCUGAGAUAUUGUUUUUUGAAAAGCAAUUAAAUCUUGUCAAUCACUUUUCCCACCUCUUUGAGAUACUUACAUGGCUUUUCUUCUUUAUUCUCUUAGUGUGGUAAAUUACAUUGAUUUAUUUUAAAUAUGAAACCAGCCUUGAAUUCCAGGAACAAACUCCAUUUGGACAUGCUAGAACAACCUUUUAUAUUUGUUUAGAUUUGAUUUCCUGAAGUGGUGUUAAAAGGUUUUCAUAUCUAUGUCUGUGAGGGAUAUUAAUCUGUACAUUUUUUUAUUACUAUUUUCUGGUGUUAUGGUAAUGCUAGUCUCAUAGAAUGAAUUAGGAAAAGUUGCCUCCUUCUGUAUUUUCUGAGAGUUUGUGUGGCACUGGUAAAAUAUUUUCUGUAUAUGUUUGACAUAAUUCACCAGGAAAAUUAUUUGUACCUACAAGUUCCCUCCUGGAAAGAUGUUGAUAAUCACUUAUUAUCCUUUCAUUGUCUGCCAGAUCUGUGGCAUUGCUUUUUUCUCUGGUAUUAGUAAUUUAAAUUUUCCCUUAUUUCUUGAUCAAUUUUGGCAGAGAUUUAUCAAUUUUAUUAAUCUCUUUUAAAAAUCUGUAUUGAGCUUUGUUAAUUUUCUCUAUUACAUACUUUUUAUUUCUACUCUUACGAUUGCUAUUUCUUUAUUUCUCCUUUGGAUUUAGCCCAUUUUUCUAUUUGUCUAAUUUUAGGAUUUAAAAUUCAAUCAUUAUUUUUAGAUAUUUUUAUUUUUAAAUAUAAACAUGAAAGUUGCAAUAUUACCUUGGGCACUGUUUUGACUGCAUUCCACAAGUUUUUAUUUGUCAUGUUUUAAUCACCAUUCAGUUCAAAAUACUUUCUAAUGCUCCUUGUUAUUUCUUCUUUGACCCAUUGGUUAUAUAAAAGUACGUUUUGCUUUAUUUCUAAAUAUGUGAAGACUUUCUAGAUAUCUCAGUUAUUUAUUACUAAUUUAAUUUUAUUGUAGCCAGAGAAAAUACACUGUAUGUGUUCAAUCUUUGGAAAUUUCUUGAGACUUAUUUUUUGACCCAGUAUGUUUGCCCUCAUGAACAUUCCAUAUUCACUAGAAAAAGAAUGUGUGUUCAAAUAAUGUUGGAUAUAGUGUUAUGCAAAUGCCACUAAAUCAAGAUAAAUCUUUUGCACUCUUGUUUUUUGCCUGCUUGUUCUAACAAUAAGUGAGAAAGAAGUGUUAAUAUCUCCAAUUGUGAUUGUAAUUUGACUGUUAUCCUUUGGUUUGGUCAGUUUUUGCCUGUUGAAAUUCUGCUAUUAAAACAUAAACAUUUAAGAUAUUUAUAUCUUCCCAAGAGAGAUGCUAAAGAAAAGUGUAAAAAACCAAAGCCAUUCUUAUGUACAUCAGAAUAUAUGGACAAAAACUUUCACAGCAACAUCAUUAUCGCAAGUAACUGAAAGCAAUACAAAGGCACAUCAACAAAAGAUUGGACAGAUAAAUUGUUCCUUCAAUGGCAAUGAAAAUGGAUGUUACAGAGAUACAUGGAUACAUGGAACACCCUGAGUGAAUCUUACAUUUAUUUUGCAGAAGAUAUCAAACCAAACAGAGCACAUAUUAUUCCAUUCAUGUAAAGGUCAGUAACAGCCACAUAUAAGCUAUAUUUUGGAGAUUCAUACACAAUAGAAAAAACUAUUUAAAAAGUCAGAUAAUACUGAUUUUAAAAAUCGGGAUGUUGAAUUCAUCUGGGUGUUGAGGGAGGAGCACAUUGUGACCCAGACAGAGCACUCAGGACUCUGAGCACACUAAUACUCUGUAUUGCCUUCAGUGGUAGUUACAUCAGUAUCAACUUAAGAAAAAUUUAUUAAAAUCUACAUAAAUAAUAAAUAAUUUUCUAUAUGUAUGUUAUAUUUCCCAAUGCUAUGAAAUGAAUUGUGUCUCCCCAAAAUGUAUGUGUUGAAGUCCUAGCCCCCAGCACCUCAGAAUGUGACCGCAUUUGGAGAUGGAACCCUUUUUUUUUAUUUUUGAGACACAGUUGCCCAGACUAGAGUGUAGUGGCGUGAUCUCGGCUCACUGACCUCUGCCUCCUGGCUCAAACAAUUCUCAUGCCUCAGCCUCCUGAGGAGCUGGGAUUACAGGUGUGUGCCACCGCAUAUGGCUAAUUUUUGUAUUUUUAGUAGAAAUAGUAGACGCCAUGCAUAAAUACCAAUUCUCUCCAAAUUGAUCUAUUUCUCAAUCUACACAUAUUCUACUGGUGAUCUCAUCCAAGGUUGUGGCUGCAAGUACACCACUACAAGCCAAAAAAUUAUGUGUAUAUCUCCAUCUCAGGCUUGUCUUCCAAACUCCAUGGUCAUAUAUCUAAUAUUGUAUUUCUUCUUGUCUUCUCUUUGUAUUUGUGUAGAACAAAAGAAAAA
RNAcentral lists this long non-coding RNA (14753 nucleotides) under Homo sapiens (human). RNAcentral's name for it is "HSALNT0397511". The record is from RNAcentral. Lineage: Eukaryota; Metazoa; Chordata; Mammalia; Primates; Hominidae.